RNAcentral lists this non-coding RNA (46 nucleotides) under Schistosoma mattheei. Lineage: Eukaryota; Metazoa; Platyhelminthes; Trematoda; Strigeidida; Schistosomatidae. The record is from RNAcentral.
GCACAGCUGAGGAGUCCCAUACUAGGACGAAACGGCCGUCCAAUGC